RNAcentral lists this ribosomal RNA (489 nucleotides) under uncultured bacterium. RNAcentral's name for it is "bacterial SSU rRNA". It matches the Rfam family "Bacterial small subunit ribosomal RNA", at positions 30 to 518 of the family's 1533-position model. The record is from RNAcentral.
UGAACGCUGGCGGCGUGCUUAACACAUGCAAGUCGAACGAGGUUAUUACGAGCGGAAGUUUCGGAGUGGAAGCAGUUUAACCGAGUGGCGGACGGGUGAGUAACGCGUGGGAAACCUGCCCUAUUCCGGGGGAUACCAGUUGGAAACGACUGUAAUACCGCAUAAGCGCACAGCACCGCAUGGUGCAGUGUGAAAAACUCCGGUGGAAUAGGAGUGGUCCCCGCGUCUGAUUAGGCAGUUGCGGGGUAACGGCCCACCAACCGACGAUCAGUAGCCGACCUGAGAGGGUGACCGGCCACAUUGGGACUGAGACACGGCCCAAACUCCUACGGGAGGCAGCAGUGGGGAAUAUUGCACAAUGGGGGAAACCCUGAUGCAGCCGACGCCGCGUGAGUGAAGAAGUAUUUCGGUAUGUAAAGCUCUAUCAGCAGGGAAGAAGAUGACGGUACCUGCACAAGAAGCCCCGGCUAACUACGUGCCAGCCGCGGC